UACGUAGGGACCAAGCGUUGUUCGGAUUUACUGGGCGUAAAGGGCGCGUAGGCGGGCUGCCAAGUCUGGGGUGAAAUCCCACGGCUCAACCGUGGAACUGCCUCGGAUACUGGCGGCCUCGAGGGAGGUAGGGGCGUGCGGAACUGUGGGUGGAGCGGUGAAAUGCGUUGAUAUCCACAGGAACUCCGGUGGCGAAGGCGGCACGCUGGACCUUUUCUGACGCUGAGGCGCGAAAGCCAGGGGAGCAAACGGG
RNAcentral lists this ribosomal RNA (253 nucleotides) under uncultured bacterium. RNAcentral describes it as "partial 16S ribosomal RNA". It matches the Rfam family "Bacterial small subunit ribosomal RNA", at positions 524 to 776 of the family's 1533-position model. The record is from RNAcentral.